Molecule: long non-coding RNA, 2271 nt
Organism: Passer domesticus (house sparrow)
Lineage: Eukaryota; Metazoa; Chordata; Aves; Passeriformes; Passeridae
Exons: 2
Source: RefSeq, a predicted model, not a curated record
AUGCUGAGGGAAUUGUCACAAGCUGUCCACAGGGCCAGGCUAUGAUUGCUGGAUUGGGUCGUGGAGCCAACCCCAGUGGUUCAGGGCCCCUGCAGCUGUGGUAAACUGAUGUGACCAUCUGCGCCUCUUUGGGUGGCUUUAAACGCAUUCAUGUGACCACAGACACCUUUUCUGCCAUGGCUUGGGCCACUCCUGUGACAAGUGAAGGCUCUGGCUUUGGCAUUCCACACUGGCCAGGCUGCUUUGCUGUUAUGGGCUUGCCUCAGGAAAUCAGAACACACAACGGGGCAGGAUACACAGCCUGGCAAACCCAGGAUUUCUCAGCUCCUUGGGGAGUGAAGCAUAGCACAGGCAUUCCAGGGAACUCCACACGUCAGCUGUCAUCAAAAGGACACAUCAGGUCCUGAAAGGACUGCUUGAUAAACAAAAAAUGGGGCAGGAUGGGCUGAGCCCACAGGACAGAGUGCUGAAAGCCGUCCACACUAUGAAUCCUCUGUGGUUAGUAGGCAAUCACAGUGAACCACCAGCAUUAACACAUUACUCAGGUUUGCAGCAAGAUUCUGAAUUGGUACAGCAUCGGCCAGAAGUUUAUUUUAAAAAUCCUAGGACAGGGUUAUGGGAAGGACCUGCAGAUUUACUGAUGUGAGGAAGGGGUUAUGUUUGUGGCAUUACAGACAAAGAACCCUGAUGGAUACCAGCAAAGUGGGUUCAUCUCUGGCUAGAAAAGGACACUCUGAUCCCUAAUACCACUAAUGAACCUACAACCAGCAACACCUGAAAACAUCCAUUGCCCUCAGAGCUGGAAAUGCUUUUGUUAUCCUUGGGUGAGAUUAGAAUGAGUGGGUGUGGAGCACACAGGUGGUGUGAGUUUGAGGGAGGAAGCUUUGCAAGGUGUGGGGUGUGCAGCUGUUGGCACAGCCAAGAAUUCAAUACCUGGGUGGUGUUAUCCCAAGUGACAGGAAGAACAGGAAAUUCCCCUGAAGCUGCUCAAGAAGCACUGAGCUUGUUUGAAAAUCAAGAGCAAUUGGGGCAGGCUAUUCAGUGGUAUCGUAGUGAACUCCAGAAGCUUGAGCAGAAAGAGAGAGAAUAAAAUCAAGGAUAUUGAGUGUGGUAAGGAAAUAUUUAUCCCUAGGACCUGGGGAGUUAGACCUGAUCAGAGGGAACAAAGAAAGAGAAGCUGGAAAGAAAGGAACCAGGAAAGAAAAAACAGAGGAAGGGCUCAAAGAGCAAGAGGCACAGUUAGUUCAGAUUUUGUCCCUGAUCUCAGAGGGGAAGGGUUCUUUACCAAUGAGCAAGAUGAAGAACAGCUUUAAAUUAGAGAGGUGGGGUUUUGGGAGAUUUUUUUCUAUUGGCUGUAGUAUGUGGUAACAUCUGUAGUGCAGAGGAAAUUAACCCACCAGGAUGGCACUGACAGAAUAUGUGGCUUACUUGGGCCAAGGCUGCUGGGGUGGAUUCCUCUCGUUUAUCCUUGGCCAUGCCUGGAGAUCCCUUCCGCACAGGUCUAAUUGGUAUCCCAGUGAGUGAUUUUACUGGUUUUGCAAGGUGGGUAGGAGCUAGAGGAAAGCCAUACGUGGAAGCAAAUAGAUCAAGCAUGGAGAAUCAUUGGUGUAACAUCAGCAGAGGUGGUACAAAAUUGGACAGAUGCAAAAGGCUGGGAAUUAAGCCAAAGGGCGAAGGCUUCCAAGCAGGAAACUCAACUACAGGACAACAUGAAGAGAUUGACUGUGAAUGACUGAGGGUUGGAUGAAUGUUUUAAGGGGUGGGCAAUAACUGGAUGGUUGAAAGAUAUUGUAAAGGGAAUUAUGUUAGUAUUAGUAGUCAUUACUUUAUUGCUUUGUGUUAUUCCAUGCAUAAUUAAGUUGGUGACCCCCUUAGUAGGGAACACAGUAAAGAGGGUCUGGCUGGUGCAAGAAGGGGGAAUUGUAGCAAUGUAUUUGAACAACUCAGGCCUCAGUGUGCACCAGCCAUACCCUCUGCAACUGUUCUUAUCAGAAUUGUCUCAGGGCUGUGUGGAAUUCAUCAAGGUGACUGAGAUAUAAACUGUGCUAAAAUAAGCACAAAGAAGCUGAGAAACGGCACACCAGGAUGGCAGGAACUGGAUAACAGGGGACUGUGAAACACCUGCAUGGUGACCAAUCACAGAGACUGAGAAAUGGAGGCAGAGAACGAGGGAACGAGACAAAGGCACCAAGCAAGAAGUGUGAUCUUAGCAGUUUGUAGAAUCCAGAAAAGUGUGUGUAAUGUAAACAAUAAACAGCUUCUGCUUGGUCA